UUUUAAAGAGAGUUUGAUCCUGGCUCAGGACGAACGCUGGCGGCGUGCCUAAUACAUGCAAGUCGAACGAACGGAGGAAGAGCUUGCUCUUCCAAAG
This 97-nucleotide ribosomal RNA is filed under the name Listeria monocytogenes. RNAcentral's name for it is "partial 16S ribosomal RNA". It matches the Rfam family "Bacterial small subunit ribosomal RNA", at positions 1 to 95 of the family's 1533-position model. RNAcentral also lists the same sequence under 2 other names. The record is from RNAcentral. Lineage: Bacteria; Bacillati; Bacillota; Bacilli; Caryophanales; Listeriaceae.